This 1522-nucleotide ribosomal RNA is filed under the name metagenome. Its description in RNAcentral is "bacterial SSU rRNA". It matches the Rfam family "Bacterial small subunit ribosomal RNA". The record is from RNAcentral.
GAGUUUGAUCAUGGCUCAGAUUGAACGCUGGCGGCAGGCCUAACACAUGCAAGUCGAACGGUAACAGGAAACAGCUUGCUGUUUCGCUGACGAGUGGCGGACGGGUGAGUAAUGUCUGGGAAACUGCCUGAUGGAGGGGGAUAACUACUGGAAACGGUAGCUAAUACCGCAUAACGUCGCAAGACCAAAGAGGGGGACCUUCGGGCCUCUCGCCAUCAGAUGUGCCCAGAUGGGAUUAGCUAGUAGGUGGGGUAACGGCUCACCUAGGCGACGAUCCCUAGCUGGUCUGAGAGGAUGACCAGCCACACUGGAACUGAGACACGGUCCAGACUCCUACGGGAGGCAGCAGUGGGGAAUAUUGCACAAUGGGCGCAAGCCUGAUGCAGCCAUGCCGCGUGUAUGAAGAAGGCCUUCGGGUUGUAAAGUACUUUCAGCGGGGAGGAAGGGAGUAAAGUUAAUACCUUUGCUCAUUGACGUUACCCGCAGAAGAAGCACCGGCUAACUCCGUGCCAGCAGCCGCGGUAAUACGGAGGGUGCAAGCGUUAAUCGGAAUUACUGGGCGUAAAGCGCACGCAGGCGGUUUGUUAAGUCAGAUGUGAAAUCCCCGGGCUCAACCUGGGAACUGCAUCUGAUACUGGCAAGCUUGAGUCUCGUAGAGGGGGGUAGAAUUCCAGGUGUAGCGGUGAAAUGCGUAGAGAUCUGGAGGAAUACCGGUGGCGAAGGCGGCCCCCUGGACGAAGACUGACGCUCAGGUGCGAAAGCGUGGGGAGCAAACAGGAUUAGAUACCCUGGUAGUCCACGCCGUAAACGAUGUCGACUUGGAGGUUGUGCCCUUGAGGCGUGGCUUCCGGAGCUAACGCGUUAAGUCGACCGCCUGGGGAGUACGGCCGCAAGGUUAAAACUCAAAUGAAUUGACGGGGGCCCGCACAAGCGGUGGAGCAUGUGGUUUAAUUCGAUGCAACGCGAAGAACGUUACCUGGUCUUGACAUCCACGGAAGUUUUCAGAGAUGAGAAUGUGCCUUCGGGAACCGUGAGACAGGUGCUGCAUGGCUGUCGUCAGCUCGUGUUGUGAAAUGUUGGGUUAAGUCCCGCAACGAGCGCAACCCUUAUCCUUUGUUGCCAGCGGUCCGGCCGGGAACUCAAAGGAGACUGCCAGUGAUAAACUGGAGGAAGGUGGGGAUGACGUCAAGUCAUCAUGGCCCCUUACGACCAGGGCUACACACGUGCUACAAUGGCGCAUACAAAGAGAAGCGACCUCGCGAGAGCAAGCGGACCUCAUAAAGUGCGUCGUAGUCCGGAUUGGAGUCUGCAACUCGACUCCAUGAAGUCGGAAUCGCUAGUAAUCGUGGAUCAGAAUGCCACGGUGAAUACGUUCCCGGGCCUUGUACACACCGCCCGUCACACCAUGGGAGUGGGUUGCAAAAGAAGUAGGUAGCUUAACCUUCGGGAGGGCGCUUACCACUUUGUGAUUCAUGACUGGGGUGAAGUCGUAACAAGGUAACCGUAGGGGAACCUGCGGUUG